GGGAGGAGCCCCAGGCAGCAGUGCAGCAACAGCGGGGGGGCAGGCGUGGUGGGCGAGACCAUCUUGCGCGCCAAGGGGGCAGGGCAGCGAAGCGCCGCAGAGGCCCGAGGCACAGGGCUGCAGCGGAUCUGCGGCAGCUGAGGGUAUCAGACCGCCUACUGCCUGGCCAACAGCAACUCCAGCACGUUCACCACAGUGGAGAUGGGAGCUAUGGUGAGGCGAUUCAUGGCCACCGAUCUGGCCCCAGAGUCAGCAUACAUCUUCAGGCUGAUGAUCAAGAUGAGGCAAGGCUGGGGAGCCCCUAGAGGCUACCAUCAUCACCACUGAGAAGUGAGAAAAUUCUAGAAGCAGAAACCUUAGCUCAGAAG
Long non-coding RNA from Mustela erminea (ermine), 368 nucleotides. RefSeq lists it as uncharacterized. The transcript has 3 exons. The record is from RefSeq and is a predicted model, not a curated record. Lineage: Eukaryota; Metazoa; Chordata; Mammalia; Carnivora; Mustelidae.